This 304-nucleotide ribosomal RNA is filed under the name uncultured bacterium. RNAcentral's name for it is "partial 16S ribosomal RNA". It matches the Rfam family "Bacterial small subunit ribosomal RNA", at positions 506 to 807 of the family's 1533-position model. The record is from RNAcentral.
CAGCAGCCGCCGCGGUAAUGCGGAGGGCGCGAGCGUUACCCGGAUUUACUGGGCGUAAAGGGCGUGUAGGCAGCCUGGGGCGUCCCAUGUGAAAGGCCACGGCUCAACCGUGGAGGAGCGUGGGAUACGCUCAGGCUAGAGGGUGGGAGAGGGUGGUGGAAUUCCCGGAGUAGCGGUGAAAUGCGCAGAUACCGGGAGGAACGCCGAUGGCGAAGGCAGCCACCUGGUCCACUUCUGACGCUGAGGCGCGAAAGCGUGGGGAGCAAACCGGAUUAGAUACCCGCGUAGUCCCUGUCUCUUAUAC